GAUGAACGCUGGCGGCGUGCCUAAUACAUGCAAGUCGAGCGAACGGACGAGAAGCUUGCUUUUCUGAUGUUAGCGGCGGACGGGUGAGUAACACGUGGAUAACCUACCUAUAAGACUGGGAUAACUUCGGGAAACCGGAGCUAAUACCGGAUAAUAUUAUGAACCGCAUGGUUCAAAAGUGAAAGACGGUCUUGCUGUCACUUAUAGAUGGAUCCGCGCUGCAUUAGCUAGUUGGUAAGGUAACGGCUUACCAAGGCAACGAUGCAUAGCCGACCUGAGAGGGUGAUCGGCCACACUGGAACUGAGACACGGUCCAGACUCCUACGGGAGGCAGCAGUAGGGAAUCUUCCGCAAUGGGCGAAAGCCUGACGGAGCAACGCCGCGUGAGUGAUGAAGGUCUUCGGAUCGUAAAACUCUGUUAUUAGGGAAGAACAUAUGUGUAAGUAACUGUGCACAUCUUGACGGUACCUAAUCAGAAAGCCACGGCUAACUACGUG
Molecule: ribosomal RNA, 497 nt
Filed under: uncultured bacterium
Lineage: Bacteria
Description: partial 16S ribosomal RNA
Rfam family: Bacterial small subunit ribosomal RNA
Source: RNAcentral